GCCUGGCUGGCUCAGUCAGUAGAGCAUGUGACUCUUGAUCUCAGGUUGUGAGUUUGAGCCCCACAUUGGGCA
Molecule: transfer RNA, 72 nt
Filed under: Felis catus (domestic cat)
Lineage: Eukaryota; Metazoa; Chordata; Mammalia; Carnivora; Felidae
Also listed under: 5 other names
Rfam family: tRNA
About the family: Transfer RNA (tRNA) molecules are approximately 80 nucleotides in length.
Source: Rfam by way of RNAcentral